AUACGUAGGUGGCGAGCGUUGUCCGGAAUUACUGGGUGUAAAGGGCGUGUAGGCGGGAAUGCAAGUCAGACGUGAAAUACCGUGGCUUAACCACGGAGCUGCAUCUGAAACUGUGUUUCUUGAGUGUCGGAGAGGAAAGUGGAAUUCCCAGUGUAGCGGUGAAAUGCGUAGAUAUUGGGAGGAACACCAGUGGCGAAGGCGACUUUCUGGACGAUAACUGACGCUGAGGCGCGAAAGCGUGGGGAGCAAACAGGAUUAGAUACCCUGGUAGUCCACGCCGUAAACGAUGGAUACUAGGUGUAGGAGGUAUCGACCCCUUCUGUGCCGCAGUUAACACAAUAAGUAUCCCACCUGGGGGGUACGGCCGCAAGGUUGAA
RNAcentral lists this ribosomal RNA (377 nucleotides) under uncultured bacterium. RNAcentral's name for it is "bacterial SSU rRNA". It matches the Rfam family "Bacterial small subunit ribosomal RNA", at positions 523 to 898 of the family's 1533-position model. The record is from RNAcentral.